Molecule: long non-coding RNA, 244 nt
Filed under: Panax ginseng (ginseng)
Lineage: Eukaryota; Viridiplantae; Streptophyta; Magnoliopsida; Apiales; Araliaceae
Description: long non-coding RNA (PGIN_LNC012700)
Source: RNAcentral
GCAGAGAGAGUAUGUGAGCGAGAGCAUUAAAGAAACUGUCAAAAAACUUCUUAAAGAAGAGCGGAAUAAGGGGCUAGCUUUGGCAGCAAAACUUGUAGCGGAAGAGCGAGAUUUUUGGGUGCAGAAGAUUAUGCAAAUAGAGGCAAAAAUUGAUGGAAAGUGUACGGGCCCCAGGUGAAACAAUUCCCCCAGGUCGCUUGACUCCCUCCACCCUUAACAGUGCACAUGUUUCAGACAAAGCUAG